Molecule: unclassified non-coding RNA, 188 nt
Filed under: plant metagenome
Description: partial contains small subunit ribosomal RNA and internal transcribed spacer 1
Source: RNAcentral
AAGUCGUAACAAGGUUUCCGUAGGUGGAAUCCUCGGAAGGGAUCAUUAAAGAAUUCGGCUUCGCGGCCAAGUUCUCACCCUUUGUCAUACCGGAAACCAUGGUUGCUUGGCGCCCCUGCUUUCUCGGGCCUGCCAGAGGUUAUAAACCCUAGAAUCUCUGCUGUCUGAGUACUAUGCAAUAGUUAAAA